This 363-nucleotide ribosomal RNA is filed under the name uncultured bacterium. RNAcentral's name for it is "bacterial SSU rRNA". It matches the Rfam family "Bacterial small subunit ribosomal RNA", at positions 335 to 717 of the family's 1533-position model. The record is from RNAcentral.
ACUCCUACGGGAGGCAGCAGUGGGAAUAUUGCGCAAUGGGGCAAGCCCUCGACGCAGCCAUGCCGCGUGAGUGAAGAAGGCCUUAGGGUUGUAAAACUCUUUCAGUGGUGAAGAUAAUGACGGUAGCCAUAGAAGAAGCCCCGGCCAACUCCGUGCCAGCAGCCGCGGUAAUACGGAGGGGCGUAGCGUUGUUCGGAAUUACUGGGCGUAAAGCGCAUGCAGGUGGUUUGUUAAGUCAGAUGUGAAAGCCCGGGCUCAACCUCGGAAUUGCAUUUGAAACUGGCAGACUAGAGUACUGUAGAGGGGUGAGAAUUUCAGGUGUAGCGGUGAAAUGCGUAGAGAUCUGAAGGAAUACCGGUGGCG